This 1880-nucleotide long non-coding RNA is filed under the name Citrus x clementina. RNAcentral describes it as "Citrus clementina (C. clementina) long non-coding RNA (CCLE_LNC000181)". Lineage: Eukaryota; Viridiplantae; Streptophyta; Magnoliopsida; Sapindales; Rutaceae. The record is from RNAcentral.
UUAUGGCCACAUUUGUGAAAUUAUCCUUUUUUGUAAAUAAUAUCCAUAAAAUUUUAGUUUAUUUUACGGUACUUAACUUUUUCAACUGUUCAUUUAAACAUAUUUAAAAUCUUAAAAACUUAAAUUCUAUUAUUUUCUUUUAAAUUUUAAAAAUAACAGUAAUAAAUUAUUUAUUUUAAAUGUUGGAGCUCAUUGUGGCCAUAUUUGUGAUAGUAUAUUUUUUGUAGGUAAUCUCCACAAAAUAUCUAAAACAAUUAUAUGAUUAUUGGGAUACGAACCAAGUCUCCAAAACUAAUAAAUAAUAUUUUUACUACUAAACCAAAAGUAUUUUGUUAUAUAGAAAAUGUGCCCAAUUUUAUUUUUUUUAACUCUUUUAAAAGAUGUUUGGGGUAUGUUUAACCAAAAAAAAAAAAAACUUAGAAGGAGCUGAAGGCCCUCCUAGGCCUUACUAGGUCCGCCUAUGUAUGUAUUUAUAUGUAUAUAAAUUAAUUCUAUGAUAGAUAGAGUAAUCGUCACAUCUCGAAUAAGUAUCAUUCAGAUUUAUAUAGAAUCUCAAGGACAUAUUGAUCCAUAUAAAGUUUAGACAAUCCUAACUCUUAAACUAACUUUUGAAUCCAUAAAAUAAAGAAUGGAGAUAAAAAUGAAGCUUAAUUACCUUUAACUUCAGUAAUUCCUUUCAAUUGAUUGGUUUGCCAGUCAAUAACACGAUCGCGCAAAUUGCGCUCCGCGACUUUUUGGAUGGAAAAAUUUGAUGUUUUUGGAUGAAAAAAUUUGCUUAAUUACCUUUAACUUCAGUACUUCCUUUCAAUUGAUUGGUUUGCCAGUCAAUAACACGAUCGCGUAAAUUGCGCUCCGCGACUUCCAAGAUUAAGAAAAAUUUGAUGUUUUUGGAUGAAAAAAAUAGCAUUAGUUAAGAGUUGAUCAAGCCACGUUAUCUUCUUUCAGGAAAUUAUUUUCCAUCCACAUUAUAUAUACUUGACUUGUCGACCUAAUCGACAUCCACAAGAACUUUCAUUAUUAUUAUUAUUAUUAUUGAUGUUAGUAACAAAAGAAGAGGCAAAAUUAUUACGAUAGAAAGUCAAGAUACAAGACUCAUGGAGAGCAAAAUGGGCGGUGCCCUUGACAAUGACCAUAAAACUACAGCUUCCACGGGGCAUAACUAAAGACCACAAGUAAUAGAAAGCCAUAAGGAUGUACAUUGGCGUUAAGUUAAUUGUUAUUAAUUAUGUUAAUUAUUUAUGUCACUCAAUAGCAUUCAUAAAGAUUAACAUGUUAAGGCACAAACAAUAUUAUUAUCAAAUAUUCCCCUUAUCAAUUGUAAACUUCGAACUUUUAGAAAUUGAGAGUUUUUAUUAUCAAGAUAAUGUUAGUUAGUGCGGUUAAUUUGAUCAAAUCCAAAUUUAUUACUUUUCAGGAAAAGUUUUAAGUAAUGUAGCUCUUUGUACGUAAUUCCUUAAUGUUGAUACAAGCUUAAUAGUUUUUAACUAUUAAGAUAUUAAAAUUUUGACAUACAAGUGUCAUCACUUAUUGAUCUGAAAAAAAAAAAAAAGAAAGAUAAAAGAAGUGGGAAAAAAAUUGCCACAAAAAAAAAGAGAGAUGAGAAGUGGUUGUUUCUAGACUGAGCUUGAUUCAAAGUCACAAAAUAAAACAACAUAAAUGAUACAACUACAAAUAUUUGUACAAAUUGAGUUAGUAGCUUGUAUGACAUAAUUAGAUUGAUGGAAUAAAAUAUCAUAGAACCUAUGUUAAUUAUUUUCCUAAGUAGAAUCUUGGAGAAAAGGAAAAGUAAAAACCCUUCAUCUUAAUUACUAGCUAAUCAAAUUGAAUAUAUAAUUUUUUUUUAUAGAGCAAUAUUAUGUUACUUAUUGGGAUAUUCAUUU